AUUGAACGCUGGCGGCAGGCUUAACACAUGCAAGUCGAGCGAGCGGCGGACGGGUGAGUAAUGUAUGGGAAACUGCCUGAUGGAGGGGGAUAACUACUGGAAACGGUAGCUAAUACCGCAUACCAUCAGAUGUGCCCAGAUGGGAUUAGCUUGUAGGUGGGGUAAUGGCUCACCUAGGCGACGAUCCCUAGCUGGGCUGAGAGGAUGACCAGCCAAACGGGAACUGAGACACGGGCCGGACUCCUACGGGAGGCAGCAGUGGGGAAUAUUGCGCAAUGGGGUCAAGACUGACGCAGCCAUGCCGCGUGUGUGAAGAAGGCCUUCGGGUUGUAAAGCACUUUCAGCGAGGAGGCGUUAAUCGCAGAAGAAGCACCGGCUAACUCCGUGCCAGCAGCCGCGGUAAUUC
This 406-nucleotide ribosomal RNA is filed under the name uncultured bacterium. RNAcentral describes it as "partial 16S ribosomal RNA". It matches the Rfam family "Bacterial small subunit ribosomal RNA", at positions 30 to 526 of the family's 1533-position model. The record is from RNAcentral.